CGCUUAUGGAGAAAGACGGAGGGAUUAGACCCUGCGAUGUCUUAGCAACCUGUACUUACAAGGUGCUACAUUCUACUCGGCAGCCAAACGGCCCCGGGAAAGAUAAGCG
This 109-nucleotide non-coding RNA is filed under the name Mucilaginibacter sp. RNAcentral's name for it is "SAM-I sequence". It matches the Rfam family "SAM riboswitch aptamer (S box leader)". From Rfam's summary of the family: The SAM riboswitch is found upstream of a number of genes which code for proteins involved in methionine or cysteine biosynthesis in Gram-positive bacteria. The SAM riboswitch acts at the level of transcription termination control. The predicted structure consists of a complex stem-loop region followed by a single stem loop terminator region. The record is from RNAcentral. Lineage: Bacteria; Pseudomonadati; Bacteroidota; Sphingobacteriia; Sphingobacteriales; Sphingobacteriaceae.